RNAcentral lists this ribosomal RNA (18 nucleotides) under Leptobryum wilsonii. RNAcentral's name for it is "partial 26S rRNA". Lineage: Eukaryota; Viridiplantae; Streptophyta; Bryopsida; Splachnales; Meesiaceae. The record is from RNAcentral.
GGACCUCUAAUCGGGAAA